AUUGAACGCUGGCGGCAGGCCUAACACAUGCAAGUCGAGCGGAUGAAGGGAGCUUGCUCCUGGAUUCAGCGGCGGACGGGUGAGUAAUGCCUAGGAAUCUGCCUGGUAGCGGGGGAUAACGUCCGGAAACGGGCGCUAAUACCGCAUACGUCCUGAGGGAGAAAGUGGGGGAUCUUCGGACCUCACGCUAUCAGAUGAGCCUAGGUCGGAUUAGCUAGUUGGUGGGGUAAAGGCCUACCAAGGCGACGAUCCGUAACUGGUCUGAGAGGAUGAUCAGUCACACUGGAACUGAGACACGGUCCAUACUCCUACGGGAGGCCGCAGUGGGGAAUAUUGGACAAUGGGCGAAAGCCUGAUCCAGCCAUGCCGCGUGUGUGAAGAAGGUCUUCGGAUUGUAAAGCACUUUAAGUUGUGAGGAAGGGCAGUAAGUUAAUACCUUGCUGUUUUGACGUUACCAACAGAAUAAGCACCGGCUAACUUCGUG
Molecule: ribosomal RNA, 484 nt
Filed under: uncultured bacterium
Lineage: Bacteria
Description: partial 16S ribosomal RNA
Rfam family: Bacterial small subunit ribosomal RNA
Source: RNAcentral